Molecule: ribosomal RNA, 468 nt
Filed under: uncultured bacterium
Lineage: Bacteria
Description: partial 16S ribosomal RNA
Rfam family: Bacterial small subunit ribosomal RNA
Source: RNAcentral
GACGAACGCUGGCGGCGUGCUUAACACAUGCAAGUCGAACGGAAAGGCCCUGCUUUUGUGGGGUGCUCGAGUGGCGAACGGGUGAGUAACACGUGAGUAACCUGCCCUUGACUUUGGGAUAACUUCAGGAAACUGGGGCUAAUACCGGAUAGGAGCUCCUGCUGCAUGGUGGGGGUUGGAAAGUUUCGGCGGUUGGGGAUGGACUCGCGGCUUAUCAGCUUGUUGGUGGGGUAGUGGCUUACCAAGGCUUUGACGGGUAGCCGGCCUGAGAGGGUGACCGGCCAAAUUGGGACUGAGAUACGGCCCAGACUCCUACGGGAGGCAGCAGUGGGGAAUAUUGCACAAUGGGCGGAAGCCUGAUGCAGCAACGCCGCGUGCGGGAUGACGGCCUUCGGGUUGUAAACCGCUUUCGCCUGUGACGAGGCGUGAGUGACGGUAAUGGGUAAAGAAGCACCGGCUAACUACGUG